UACGUAGGGUCCAAGCGUUAAUCGGAAUUACUGGGCGUAAAGCGUGCGCAGGCGGUUCCAUAAGACAGAUGUGAAAUCCCCGGGCUUAACCUGGGAAUGGCAUUUGUGACUGUGGGGCUAGAGUGUGGCAGAGGGGGGUGGAAUUCCACGUGUAGCAGUGAAAUGCGUAGAGAUGUGGAGGAACACCGAUGGCGAAGGCAGCCCCCUGGGCUAACACUGACGCUCAUGCACGAAAGCGUGGGGAGCAAACAGG
This 253-nucleotide ribosomal RNA is filed under the name uncultured bacterium. Its description in RNAcentral is "partial 16S ribosomal RNA". It matches the Rfam family "Bacterial small subunit ribosomal RNA", at positions 524 to 776 of the family's 1533-position model. The record is from RNAcentral.